Molecule: long non-coding RNA, 934 nt
Filed under: Mytilus galloprovincialis (Mediterranean mussel)
Lineage: Eukaryota; Metazoa; Mollusca; Bivalvia; Mytilida; Mytilidae
Source: RNAcentral
AAUUUAGGAUGACAUUUGAAAAAAAUAGGCAGGACAGGAGUUUUGAGUUAAAAAAAAAGGCAGGAUGAAACACUUACAAAAAAAAAAGUCAGGACGACAAUUUAGGUAAAAAAAAGUCAGGAUAAACUAAAAAAAAAGGCAGGACCGAACAGAGUGAAAAAUAAAAAGGCAGGACAGAGAUUACAGCUAAAAAAAAAUGCAGGACAAAAUUUUUCAUCCUAGCCCAACCCCAACCCCCCCAUAAAAAUCAAAUGGUAGCUCCCUUAAACAGUCAGUCCGUUUGCGCGAAACAAUAGUAAAUAAAUAUGAAAAAAAAAAUCAUAGGACUUGACUGUAUAUAAACAAAUUAUAUUUUUCGAAAUUAAAAAAGUUUUUACGUUCAAUUAAAAAAAAACAGUUAAAAAAACCCAAAUUGAACUGUUUAUGCCACAAAACAUACCAACAAUGUGCCAGAGUUUUUCACAGUCUUAAUAUGAACAGUUAUAGUCUUGUCAUUCAGCCAUUUACACAUUCGUUUAGAUUAUACGUAUAUAUAGAGCAAUAAUCAUGACAAGCUCUGGAAAUGCGCACAGACAAAGAUAAAAUAAAAAUAAGAAAAAAGUUCUACAUUUUUUGAAGUUUCAAACUGGUGAAAUUCCCCGCCGCAUUAUCUGAAAUCGCUUGGGUUUAAGUAAAAAUGUAGCAAGUAAGGACUGUUUUAUAAUUUGAUUUUGAUUUUUUGUGUUUUAACGCCACUUUUAAGCACCACAUUUAGGCUUUUUCGUGGCGGCUAGUUUUUAUUUGUGGAGGAAGCCGAAGUGCCCGGAAACAACCACCGACCUUCUAUAGGAAAACUGACAAUCCUAGUCAGUUUAGAUUGGGGUCGAGUCAGUUGAUUGGCUAGUGAUUACAGUAAAAAUCAAAGUACUGUAGUACUGAACAUCAGAGGACCUGA